UUGCUGUGAUGCUUAUAUUUUUCGUCAACAGUAACCCACCUCAGUGGAUGUUGAGAUUGUAAUCCUGAGCAG
Small nucleolar RNA from Megalobrama amblycephala (Wuchang bream), 72 nucleotides. RefSeq annotates it as small nucleolar RNA SNORD56. The transcript has a single exon. NCBI's taxonomy places the organism in Eukaryota, Metazoa, Chordata, Actinopteri, Cypriniformes, Xenocyprididae. The record is from RefSeq and is a predicted model, not a curated record.